Molecule: RNA transcript, 1754 nt
Organism: Macadamia integrifolia
Lineage: Eukaryota; Viridiplantae; Streptophyta; Magnoliopsida; Proteales; Proteaceae
Gene name: bZIP transcription factor 27-like
Exons: 2
Source: RefSeq, a predicted model, not a curated record
UGACUUUUCUCGAAUCCAAAAUUCCACAUCAACUCAAGUCAGAAUCAGUUUUUAAAUUUCCUUCCCAACGAGACUUGCUAGUAGACUAUUAAGGACAUCUUCCCUGUCACUGCAACUCCCUUCCUUCUCUCUAGCCCUAGGUCUCUGCGUUUUCCCUUCUGUUUCAAUGUGGUCGUCAUCUGAUAGUGAACAACACUUCAUCAGCACCACCACCACCACCAGCAACAACCAUCGCAGAGUAUCUUCUUCAUCGUCCAACUCCUCGUCUAUGUCCUCACCUUCCGCUCCUCUCGCAACCCCAAGAAGGAAAACCAUGGAAGAAGUCUGGAAGGACAUUAACCUCGCCUCUCUCUGCGACCACACCUCUUCCAGAGAAAACCUGCUUCUCUCCCCAAACAACGUUAGAACCGCCACCACCACCGUCACCGCCGCCGCUACCACAAGCAGCUUCGGAGGCAGGAUCUUUCAGGACUUCCUUGGUCGACCCUUCAGCAAAGACCCACCCUCAAGCCUUGUAUCUGCUGACCCCAUCCAACCCCGUGAAGCUAGGCCCUUUACUUCUCCUUCGUCAUUACCACCUCCCACCACCGCCUUGAGUCUAAGGUCCGCGCCCGAUUUUCAUUUCCUCGAAAGCAUCGACCCCCUGAGGCCUCCCCCACAGUUACACAUCCCUGUCAAUGGACCUUCACCUUUCCUCAUGUCUUCCCUCACCUCUUCCUCCUCCCCCUUGGACGCUUUCGCUUCUUCCCCGAAUUUCUUUCCCUUAUGCAAGAAAAGGGUUUCGGACUCUGAUGAUGGUUCCGGCGAUCGACGCCGUAAGCGUAUGAUCAAGAACAGAGAGUCUGCCGCGCGCUCUAGGGCCAGAAAACAGGAAUCUCUCGAUCUGCUCUUCUCUUUCUCUCCUUUUUCUCUUCUUUUGUUCCCUUUUCCUUAUUGGAAAUCAUUGAAAUGCUUCAUUGUAAACAUAGAUCAAGUAAAGUUUGAGUUUUUAUUCCAAAAUUUUCUCUGUUUUUUUUCUUCUCAAUCCUCAUUUUUCUCUAAAUUUAAUUGCAGGCGUACACGAACGAGUUGGAGAUAGAAAUUAAUCACUUGAGGAAAGAGAAUGCCAGGCUGAGACAAGAGCAGGAACAACAACGACAAGAACAACAGGGGCAGUCAUCACUCUUUGGAAGAACUGCUCAACUUCCCAAAAAGCACACCAUCUAUAGAACGUCAACAGCUCCGUUUUGACAAGUGUUGGUGCCAGAGGCAAAGGCAGUCCUUCUACUAGGCUUCUCCUUUUGUGUCUUUUUUGCCCUUUUACUCUAUUAAAAUUACCUUGUGAGGUAAGGUAUGCCAAUCAAGCAAUCACUACUGUUACUGUAUAGACAGAGAGAAACGAGAGAAGAUGAGGUGGGUUUGUUAAGGAAAAUAUCUAAUGUGCCAAAGUAGUUGUGGUUGUGUUUGUGGCAAAGAAGGAAUUGUUGAAUGAGGUGAGGCUGUGUCUGAGGUGAGAAUGGAAGGCUUUGAAAAUUCCAAGCAGGCAGGAACUUUGCUUUGAUGGGUCACUUCUUUUUUCAUUCUUUUUUUCAAGCUUUUGGGCAUCCUUUACUUUUGUCUAUAUUAUACCCUGUUUUUUUAGCUCACCUGUACUGAGGUUGGAGGAGUUGGGAGGUAGCAGGAGUCGUCCUAAGGAAGGAGACUGAUUGCUUUAGCUGUAAAAAGAUCAGGAAAAAGAUCAUCUACAGUAUGAAGAUGGGACAUCUUGACUAUAA